RNAcentral lists this long non-coding RNA (1062 nucleotides) under Calidris pugnax (ruff). RNAcentral's name for it is "lncRNA (ENSCPUG00000010533.1)". Lineage: Eukaryota; Metazoa; Chordata; Aves; Charadriiformes; Scolopacidae. The record is from RNAcentral.
AUGAGCAGCAGAGCCACCUUGCCCGUGGCUGGUGCCUCCUGCCCUCCCUCGGCUGCUCCCUUCCUCCACCCAGGUGGAGGGAUCGUAGUGGUGGCCAAGGUGGGACAUGGGCAUUGCCCUGCCCUCUGCCUGGUCCAGGAUGGAGUUUGGGAAAUGGGCUGGGCUCCAUCCUUCCAUCUUCUCCAUCCCUCUGUCCUCUUCUUCUCCAUCAUCCCCUCAUCCCACCAUUCCCUCCAUCUUUCUGUCCCCUUCAUCUCCAUCAUCGCCUCAUCCCACCAUGGCUCUAUCCCUCCAUCCCUUCCAUCCUCAUCAUCCCACCAUCCCUUCAUCCCACCAUUGCCUCCAUUUCUCCAUCCCCAUCAUCCCACCAUUCCCUCUAUCCCUCUGUCCCUUUCAUUGCCACCAUUCCCUCCAUCUCACCGUUCCCUCCAUCCCUCUGUCUCUUUCAUUGCCAUCAUCUCCUCAUCCCACCAUGGCCCCAUCCCUCCAUCUCCUCAUCCCUCUGUCCCCUCCAUCCCUCCCCAGCCCAUCUGGAGCAGCAGCAGUGGAGAUGACACUCUGCCAAGGUGGGACAAGGGACAGGGUGAGUGCCCUGGUGGCCUCUCACCGCAGCAUCCCAAUGGCAAUGGCCAAAACGCAGCACCCACGCUCAAGGCUGAGGAUGUCCCAACGGUGACAAUCUGGUCCCCUGGGAAGACUAAACUGGGCAAACUGGGAAUGGUGGCCCUUGCUCCACAGUUCUGCAAACUCUCCUUGGCUGUGGGGCUGGGUGAGUUUCCCUCUCCCCUGUGUGUGCCUGGUCCAGAAGCUCUGCAGCUGCAGGGUGAUGCCCACCUUGGGGUGACGCUCCCUUUGGGGGGAUGUCCACCCUGGGGUGAUGUCCAGCUUGGGACAAUGCCCAGCUUGGGGACACCCCCCCUGGGACCCGCCGGCAUCCCCGGCAGCCGAGAUCUCCCAGAGUAUCUCUCUCUCUCUUCCCCACCCCCAGCAAAUUUAAUUAAAAGUCAUUCAGAUUCCUUUGAAAGAAAAUGUCAUCCGUCGACACAAUUACACUUUAACUAA